Molecule: transfer RNA, 57 nt
Filed under: Phoneutria boliviensis
Lineage: Eukaryota; Metazoa; Arthropoda; Arachnida; Araneae; Ctenidae
Description: tRNA-Lys
Source: RNAcentral
AUAUGUGGCCGAUUUAGGUGUUAGUCUCUUAAAUUAAUUAAGAGUUGAUUAGUUAAU